GAUGAAGAACGUAGCGAAAUGCGAUAAUUAAUGUGAAUUGCAGAAUUCCGUGAAUCAUCGAGUCUUUGAACGCACAUUGCGCCUCAUGGCAUUCCGUGAGGCAUGCCCAUCUCAGCGUUAGAAAAUAUUCUCAAAUUUUAGUUUUGUGCUAAAAUUUGGAUCAUGUCAAGGAAGCUAUUACUAUUAUUGUGAUCGCUCUUUGGAAAUUGAUAGGUCUUUGAGUUGCUACUCAUAGAACGUGAUGAAUCUUUCUUCGUUCUAUUGUAAUUCACUCUGGUAGUCCUAAAACUUGUAUGCCUGUGGCAUAUCUUAUAAUUUGACCUGAGAUUGGGUAGGGAUACCCGCUGAACUUAAGCAUAUCAAUAAGCGGAGGA
RNAcentral lists this unclassified non-coding RNA (374 nucleotides) under soil metagenome. Its description in RNAcentral is "partial contains internal transcribed spacer 2 and large subunit ribosomal RNA". The stretch from base 1 to 120 matches the Rfam family "5.8S ribosomal RNA", at positions 35 to 154 of the family's 154-position model. The record is from RNAcentral.